CCCCUCUCAAGGUCACAACUUGAGAGUUUCCAGUACUCUACCAGUCUCGACUAUGGGAGGGAGAGUCAAGUAGAGGCCUACCCAUUCCAUUCCUAGCCUGGGCAGUGGCCAGCGAGUGGAAGGCAAUCUGCCACAAGU
Molecule: small nucleolar RNA, 138 nt
Organism: Tachyglossus aculeatus (Australian echidna)
Lineage: Eukaryota; Metazoa; Chordata; Mammalia; Monotremata; Tachyglossidae
Source: RefSeq, a predicted model, not a curated record